RNAcentral lists this ribosomal RNA (1807 nucleotides) under Listeria monocytogenes. RNAcentral's name for it is "bacterial LSU rRNA". It matches the Rfam family "Bacterial large subunit ribosomal RNA", at positions 492 to 2297 of the family's 2925-position model. The record is from RNAcentral. Lineage: Bacteria; Bacillati; Bacillota; Bacilli; Caryophanales; Listeriaceae.
GAACCAGUACCGUGAGGGAAAGGUGAAAAGCACCCCGGAAGGGGAGUGAAACAGUUCCUGAAACCGUGUGCCUACAAGUAGUUAGAGCCCGUUAAUGGGUGAUAGCGUGCCUUUUGUAGAAUGAACCGGCGAGUUACGAUUUGUUGCAAGGUUAAGCGGAAAAAGCGGAGCCGUAGCGAAAGCGAGUCUGAAUAGGGCGCAUAAGUAACAGGUCGUAGACCCGAAACCAGGUGAUCUACCCAUGUCCAGGAUGAAGGUAAGGUAAUACUUACUGGAGGUCCGAACCCACGCACGUUGAAAAGUGCGGGGAUGAGGUGUGGGUAGCGGAGAAAUUCCAAUCGAACUUGGAGAUAGCUGGUUCUCUCCGAAAUAGCUUUAGGGCUAGCCUCGAGGUAAAGAGUCAUGGAGGUAGAGCACUGUUUGGACUAGGGGCCCUUCUCGGGUUACCGAAUUCAGAUAAACUCCGAAUGCCAUGUACUUAUACUCGGGAGUCAGACUGCGAGUGAUAAGAUCCGUAGUCGAAAGGGAAACAGCCCAGACCACCAGUUAAGGUCCCCAAAUAUAUGUUAAGUGGAAAAGGAUGUGGGGUUGCUUAGACAACCAGGAUGUUGGCUUAGAAGCAGCCACCAUUGAAAGAGUGCGUAAUAGCUCACUGGUCGAGUGACCCCGCGCCGAAAAUGUACCGGGGCUAAACAUAUUACCGAAACUGUGGAUGAACCUCUUUAGAGGUUCGUGGUAGGAGAGCGUUCUAAGGGCGGUGAAGUCAGACCGGAAGGACUGGUGGAGCGCUUAGAAGUGAGAAUGCCGGUAUGAGUAGCGAAAGAAGGGUGAGAAUCCCUUCCACCGAAUAUCUAAGGUUUCCUGAGGAAGGCUCGUCCGCUCAGGGUUAGUCGGGACCUAAGCCGAGGCCGAUAGGCGUAGGCGAUGGACAACAGGUAGAGAUUCCUGUACCAGUGCUAAUUGUUUAACCGAUGGGGUGACACAGAAGGAUAGGGAAUCGCACGAAUGGAAAUGUGCGUCCAAGCAGUGAGUGUGAGAAGUAGGCAAAUCCGCUUCUCGCGAAGCAUGAGCUGUGAUGGGGAAGGAAAUUAAGUACGGAAGUUCCUGAUUUCACGCUGUCAAGAAAAGCCUCUAGGAAGAGUAGUACUGCCCGUACCGCAAACCGACACAGGUAGAUGAGGAGAGAAUCCUAAGGUGAGCGAGAGAACUCUCGUUAAGGAACUCGGCAAAAUGACCCCGUAACUUCGGGAGAAGGGGUGCUCUAUUAGGGUGCAAGCCCGAGAGAGCCGCAGUGAAUAGGCCCAGGCGACUGUUUAGCAAAAACACAGGUCUCUGCAAAACCGUAAGGUGACGUAUAGGGGCUGACGCCUGCCCGGUGCUGGAAGGUUAAGAGGAGUGCUUAGCUUCGGCGAAGGUACGAAUUGAAGCCCCAGUAAACGGCGGCCGUAACUAUAACGGUCCUAAGGUAGCGAAAUUCCUUGUCGGGUAAGUUCCGACCCGCACGAAAGGCGCAACGAUCUGGGCACUGUCUCAACGAGAGACUCGGUGAAAUUAUAGUACCUGUGAAGAUGCAGGUUACCCGCGACAGGACGGAAAGACCCCGUGGAGCUUUACUGCAACCUGAUAUGGAAUGUUUGUACCGCUUGUACAGGAUAGGUAGGAGCCGAAGAGACGUGUGCGCUAGCAUACGAGGAGGCAAUGGUGGGAUACUACCCUGGCUGUAUGACCAUUCUAACCCGCCACGCUUAGCGCGUGGGGAGACAGUGUCAGGUGGGCAGUUUGACUGGGGCGGUCGCCUCCUAAAGAG